RNAcentral lists this small RNA (90 nucleotides) under Microcebus murinus (gray mouse lemur). RNAcentral's name for it is "Y RNA (ENSMICG00000025436.3)". Lineage: Eukaryota; Metazoa; Chordata; Mammalia; Primates; Cheirogaleidae. The record is from RNAcentral.
AGUGAGGAUAAUGGAUUAUCAGAACUUAUUAACAUUAGUGUCACUAAAGUUGGUAUUCAACCCCCCACUGCUAAAUUUGACUGGCUUUAG